AUGGGGUGACUGCGUACCUUUUGUAUAAUGGGUCAGCGACUUAUAUUCUGUAGCAAGGUUAACCGAAUAGGGGAGCCGAAGGGAAACCGAGUCUUAACUGGGCGUUAAGUUGCAGGGUAUAGACCCGAAACCCGGUGAUCUAGCCAUGGGCAGGUUGAAGGUUGGGUAACACUAACUGGAGGACCGAACCGACUAAUGUUGAAAAAUUAGCGGAUGACUUGUGGCUGGGGGUGAAAGGCCAAUCAAACCGGGAGAUAGCUGGUUCUCCCCGAAAGCUAUUUAGGUAGCGCCUCGUGAAUUCAUCUCCGGGGGUAGAGCACUGUUUCGGCAAGGGGGUCAUCCCGACUUACCAACCCGAUGCAAACUGCGAAUACCGGAGAAUGUUAUCACGGGAGACACACGGCGGGUGCUAACGUCCGUCGUGAAGAGGGAAACAACCCAGACCGCCAGCUAAGGUCCCAAAGUCAUGGUUAAGUGGGAAACGAUGUGGGAAGGCCCAGACAGCCAGGAUGUUGGCUUAGAAGCAGCCAUCAUUUAAAGAAAGCGUAAUAGCUCACUGGUCGAGUCGGCCUGCGCGGAAGAUGUAACGGGGCUAAACCAUGCACCGAAGCUGCGGCAGCGACGCUUAUGCGUUGUUGGGUAGGGGAGCGUUCUGUAAGCCUGCGAAGGUGUACUGUGAGGUAUGCUGGAGGUAUCAGAAGUGCGAAUGCUGACAUAAGUAACGAUAAAGCGGGUGAAAAGCCCGCUCGCCGGAAGACCAAGGGUUCCUGUCCAACGUUAAUCGGGGCAGGGUGAGUCGACCCCUAAGGCGAGGCCGAAAGGCGUAGUCGAUGGGAAACAGGUUAAUAUUCCUGUACUUGGUGUUACUGCGAAGGGGGGACGGAGAAGGCUAUGUUGGCCGGGCGACGGUUGUCCCGGUUUAAGCGUGUAGGCUGGUUUUCCAGGCAAAUCCGGAAAAUCAAGGCUGAGGCGUGAUGACGAGGCACUACGGUGCUGAAGCAACAAAUGCCCUGCUUCCAGGAAAAGCCUCUAAGCAUCAGGUAACAUCAAAUCGUACCCCAAACCGACACAGGUGGUCAGGUAGAGAAUACCAAGGCGCUUGAGAGAACUCGGGUGAAGGAACUAGGCAAAAUGGUGCCGUAACUUCGGGAGAAGGCACGCUGAUAUGUAGGUGAAGUCCCUCGCGGAUGGAGCUGAAAUCAGUCGAAGAUACCAGCUGGCUGCAACUGUUUAUUAAAAACACAGCACUGUGCAAACACGAAAGUGGACGUAUACGGUGUGACGCCUGCCCGGUGCCGGAAGGUUAAUUGAUGGGGUUAGCG
Molecule: ribosomal RNA, 1322 nt
Filed under: Escherichia coli
Lineage: Bacteria; Pseudomonadati; Pseudomonadota; Gammaproteobacteria; Enterobacterales; Enterobacteriaceae
Description: partial 23S ribosomal RNA
Rfam family: Bacterial large subunit ribosomal RNA
Source: RNAcentral